This 468-nucleotide ribosomal RNA is filed under the name uncultured bacterium. RNAcentral's name for it is "partial 16S ribosomal RNA". It matches the Rfam family "Bacterial small subunit ribosomal RNA", at positions 28 to 507 of the family's 1533-position model. The record is from RNAcentral.
GACGAACGCUGGCGGCGUGCUUAACACAUGCAAGUCGAACGGUGAAGCUCCAGCUUGCUGGAGUGGAUCAGUGGCGAACGGGUGAGUAACACGUGAGCAACCUGCCCCUGACUCUGGAAUAAGCGCUGGAAACGGCGUCUAAUACUGGAUACGAGAAGGGUCCGCAUGGGCACUUUCUGGAAAGUUUUUCGGUUGGGGAUGGGCUCGCGGCCUAUCAGCUUGUUGGUGAGGUAAUGGCUCACCAAGGCGACGACGGGUAGCCGGCCUGAGAGGGCGACCGGCCACACUGGGACUGAGACACGGCCCAGACUCCUACGGGAGGCAGCAGUGGGGAAUAGUGCACAAUGGGCGAAAGCCUGAUGCAGCGACGCCGCGUGAGGGAUGACGGCCUUCGGGGUGUAAACCUCUUUCAGCAGGGAAGAAGCGAAAGUGACGGUACCUGCAGAAGAAGCACCGGCUAACUACGUG